This 427-nucleotide ribosomal RNA is filed under the name uncultured bacterium. RNAcentral describes it as "bacterial SSU rRNA". It matches the Rfam family "Bacterial small subunit ribosomal RNA", at positions 355 to 774 of the family's 1533-position model. The record is from RNAcentral.
UGGGGAAUUUUGGACAAUGGGCGCAAGCCUGAUCCAGCAAUGCCGCGUGCAGGAUGAAGGCCUUCGGGUUGUAAACUGCUUUUGUACGGAGCGAAAAGGUCUGCCCUAAUACGGUGGGCUCAUGACGGUACCGUAAGAAUAAGCACCGGCUAACUACGUGCCAGCAGCCGCGGUAAUACGUAGGGUGCGAGCGUUAAUCGGAAUUACUGGGCGUAGAGCGUGCGCAGGCGGUUAUAUAAGACAGAUGUGAAAUCCCCGGGCUCAACCUGGGACCUGCAUUUGUGACUGUAUAGCUAGAGUACGGUAGAGGGGGAUGGAAUUCCACGUGUAGCAGUGAAAUGCGUAGAUAUGCGGAGGAACACCGAUGGCGAAGGCAAUCCCCUGGACCUGUACUGACGCUCAUGCACGAAAGCGUGGGGAGCAAACA